Molecule: ribosomal RNA, 941 nt
Filed under: Lactobacillus crispatus
Lineage: Bacteria; Bacillati; Bacillota; Bacilli; Lactobacillales; Lactobacillaceae
Description: bacterial SSU rRNA
Rfam family: Bacterial small subunit ribosomal RNA
Source: RNAcentral
UUACUUCGGCAAUGACGUUAGGAAAGCGAGCGGCGGAUGGGUGAGUAACACGUGGGGAACCUGCCCCAUAGUCUGGGAUACCACUUGGAAACAGGUGCUAAUACCGGAUAAGAAAGCAGAUCGCAUGAUCAGCUUUUAAAAGGCGGCGUAAGCUGUCGCUAUGGGAUGGCCCCGCGGUGCAUUAGCUAGUUGGUAAGGUAAAGGCUUACCAAGGCGAUGAUGCAUAGCCGAGUUGAGAGACUGAUCGGCCACAUUGGGACUGAGACACGGCCCAAACUCCUACGGGAGGCAGCAGUAGGGAAUCUUCCACAAUGGACGCAAGUCUGAUGGAGCAACGCCGCGUGAGUGAAGAAGGUUUUCGGAUCGUAAAGCUCUGUUGUUGGUGAAGAAGGAUAGAGGUAGUAACUGGCCUUUAUUUGACGGUAAUCAACCAGAAAGUCACGGCUAACUACGUGCCAGCAGCCGCGGUAAUACGUAGGUGGCAAGCGUUGUCCGGAUUUAUUGGGCGUAAAGCGAGCGCAGGCGGAAGAAUAAGUCUGAUGUGAAAGCCCUCGGCUUAACCGAGGAACUGCAUCGGAAACUGUUUUUCUUGAGUGCAGAAGAGGAGAGUGGAACUCCAUGUGUAGCGGUGGAAUGCGUAGAUAUAUGGAAGAACACCAGUGGCGAAGGCGGCUCUCUGGUCUGCAACUGACGCUGAGGCUCGAAAGCAUGGGUAGCGAACAGGAUUAGAUACCCUGGUAGUCCAUGCCGUAAACGAUGAGUGCUAAGUGUUGGGAGGUUUCCGCCUCUCAGUGCUGCAGCUAACGCAUUAAGCACUCCGCCUGGGGAGUACGACCGCAAGGUUGAAACUCAAAGGAAUUGACGGGGGCCCGCACAAGCGGUGGAGCAUGUGGUUUAAUUCGAAGCAACGCGAAGAACCUUACCAGGUCUUGACAUCUAGU